CCGUAGCUCAGUUGGUAGAGCAGUUGACUCUUAAUCAAUUGGUCGUAGGUUCGAGUCCUACCGGGCC
This 67-nucleotide transfer RNA is filed under the name marine eukaryotic metagenome. It matches the Rfam family "tRNA", at positions 5 to 66 of the family's 71-position model. From Rfam's summary of the family: Transfer RNA (tRNA) molecules are approximately 80 nucleotides in length. Their secondary structure includes four short double-helical elements and three loops (D, anti-codon, and T loops). The record is from RNAcentral.